UACGUAGGGGGCAAGCGUUGUCCGGAAUCAUUGGGCGUAAAGAGCGCGUAGGCGGUCCGGUAAGUCCGCUGUGAAAGUCAAGGGCUCAACCCUUGAAUGGCGGUGGAUACUGUCGGGCUAGAGUCCGGAAGAGGCGAGUGGAAUUCCUGGUGUAGCGGUGAAAUGCGCAGAUAUCAGGAGGAACACCAAUGGCGAAGGCAGCUCGCUGGGACGGUACUGACGCUGAGGCGCGAAAGCGUGGGGAGCAAACAGG
This 253-nucleotide ribosomal RNA is filed under the name uncultured bacterium. Its description in RNAcentral is "partial 16S ribosomal RNA". It matches the Rfam family "Bacterial small subunit ribosomal RNA", at positions 524 to 776 of the family's 1533-position model. The record is from RNAcentral.